Molecule: non-coding RNA, 366 nt
Organism: Hyla sarda
Lineage: Eukaryota; Metazoa; Chordata; Amphibia; Anura; Hylidae
Source: the annotation of a RefSeq genome assembly
AUGAAGACUUUCCUGCUCCUCUUUAUAUCACUGGCCUGCUUGUCAGGUGUCCAGUCUCAGCAACUUGUCCAGUCAUCAGACCCAGUGGUGAUAAAGCCCGGGAAUUCCUAUAGAGCCUCAUGUACGGCUUCUGGAUUCAACUUCAGUAGCUAUGGCAUGCACUGGGUUAGACAGAGUCCUGACAGAAGAUUUCAAUGGUUGGGUUGGAUAAGCCCUGAUGGAGGGACCACAGUCUAUCAUGAUUCUAUUAAAGGACAAUUCACAAUCUCCAGAGAUAACAGUAAUAACCUGUUAUAUCUACAAAUGACCAACAUGAAGACUGAGGACUCUGUCGUGUAUUACUGUGCUAGGGAUGCACACUGGUAA